UGGGGAAUAUUGCACAAUGGAGGGAACUCUGAUGCAGCGAGGCCGCGUGAACGAAGAAGGCUUUCGAGUCGUAAAGUUCUUUUAUAUGGGAAGAUAAUGACGGUACCAUAAGAAAAAGCCCCGGCUAACUACGUGCCAGCAGCCGCGGUAAUACGUAGGGGGCUAGCGUUGUCCGGAAUCACUGGGCGUAAAGGGUUCGCAGGCGGAAAUGCAAGUCAGGUGUAAAAGGCAGUAGCUUAACUACUGUAAGCAUUUGAAACUGCAUAUCUUGAGAAGAGUAGAGGUAAGUGGAAUUUUUAGUGUAGCGGUGAAAUGCGUAGAUAUUAAAAAGAAUACCGGUGGCGAAGGCGACUUACUGGGCUCAUUCUGACGCUGAGGAACGAAAGCGUGGGUAGCAAACAGG
Molecule: ribosomal RNA, 403 nt
Filed under: bacterium
Lineage: Bacteria
Description: partial 16S ribosomal RNA
Rfam family: Bacterial small subunit ribosomal RNA
Source: RNAcentral